Molecule: ribosomal RNA, 254 nt
Filed under: uncultured bacterium
Lineage: Bacteria
Description: partial 16S ribosomal RNA
Rfam family: Bacterial small subunit ribosomal RNA
Source: RNAcentral
UACGGGGGGAGCAAGCGUUGUUCGGAUUUACUGGGCGUAAAGGGCGCGUAGGCGGUCAGCACAAGUCAGUUGUGAAAUCUCCGGGCUUAACUCGGAAAGGUCAACUGAUACUGUGCGACUAGAGUGCGGAAGGGGCAACUGGAAUUCUCGGUGUAGCGGUGAAAUGCGUAGAUAUCGAGAGGAACACCUGCGGCGACGGCGGGUUGCUGGGCCGACACUGACGCUGAUGCGCGAAAGCCAGGGGAGCGAACGGG